GCCCGGUGGCGCGGUGGUUAGCACUGUUGCCUCACAACAAGAAGGUCGUGGGCUCGAAUCCGACCUGCAGCC
Molecule: non-coding RNA, 72 nt
Organism: Gymnothorax javanicus (giant moray)
Lineage: Eukaryota; Metazoa; Chordata; Actinopteri; Anguilliformes; Muraenidae
Source: the annotation of a GenBank genome assembly